Phacochoerus africanus (Common warthog) is the source of this 2073-nucleotide long non-coding RNA. RefSeq lists it as uncharacterized. The record is from RefSeq and is a predicted model, not a curated record. The transcript has 3 exons. NCBI's taxonomy places the organism in Eukaryota, Metazoa, Chordata, Mammalia, Artiodactyla, Suidae.
GGGCGGGGCACCUGGCUGGGGUGUGCGGGGUCUCCGAGGCUGGAGGAUCUGGCCCCUCCCAGCAGAAAGCUGAGGACCCGGUUCCCUCACCGCGCGCGCGGCUGGGCGGUGAGGGGCAGCAAGGAUCCCGCUAACCAGACGCAGGGAACGGUGGAGGCUGGAGAAACCCUUUCCUGCCGCCCUGGUGACCUGCGCCUCCGCCUACUCCAGGAUUCCCCGUUUGCUUGCAGCGCUGGAUGCGGCAGAGUGGCGCCCAACGCGGGGCUGGAAGAGAAGGUCUGCCACGAGCCGGAAAAGGUGAAACUGCAGACGUUGGAAACGGUAGCCUUGCCGUUGACGGAGUGGAGACCGACCUGCUGACAGCGUUGGAGAAGACAGCAAUGUUCACCAUCGUCCAGCGGGCAAGAUCGUGACUCAGCCGUGGAACCCUUCAUCUCAGUGGCCAGGUCCUCAAUCUACUUUGUGAAGCCAGGUCUCUGCCCUCCCCAGUAAGUCUGCACAGUGGCUACUUUAUACCUGGGGAAAAAACCCUAAAAAAAAACAAUCAAGCCACAACACUGAAAGUAUGAGGAAACCCACUGUCUCCAAUGGAAACGAUUCAACCACUAGAAGUCAGGUGUCCGAGCUUGCUGCAUCCAGGAAGAUGCAGCAGGCUGAGCAAACUCUCGUUAGAAGGCUGACAUGUAACCUGCCUGGAGCAAGUUUGUGGCAAGGCAGAGGACUGGCACCCAGAAUCCGGGGGCUGGAAUCCUGGCAAGGGGCCACCUUAAUGCCCUCUGCCUUUGUCCUCUGGACACCCACAUCCUGUCUUUCAUUCCUCGCAAGGCAAGUCUGCCGCCCGCUGCCUGGCAGAUGUCCUGCCUCCCAGUCUUGAGUCGUGUUCCCUAACUGCUCCCCACUCCUCUGUCUUCUCUGGGUCUCGUGAGACCCCUAGGACCCAGUGGCCACUGCAGGUGGCUCAAGGACUCCCCUAUUUUAGGACCCCUCAGGACUGCUGUUGCCUGCGAACCAGUGGCAGGUUUGACAGGUUCUAUCCAAUAGGAGACAGUCUUCUUGGAACUUAAGAAACUGACCAGGCAGAAUCCAGACAAAACGCAGUGAAGCUAAGGGAAUCUCUAACUACUCCAAUACCUGAGAGCCCCACAGCACAACAAAGGGAUAAGUACUGAAGAGCCUGAUGAAGUUAGGAUUUCCAUAAGAGACCACAGCCUGCUAACUGCUGGCUCUAAAUAGGGAGACUUCCAAACUGCUACUUUCAGCUGCCAUCAACACAUCUGGCCCAGUGCUGACUUGUGUCCAUCAGGAGCACUGGGCUUCAUGUGCCCAAUGGUACAGGAAAAAGGAGUGCUCAUAAACCUGCCUUCACCCUUCUCUUGGCCACGAGCAUGCAGCCCUGUGAAACAGACUCCCAGCCACCCCUUUGCCAUUUACAGCUAGGCCCAGAGCUGCACAGAAAGCCAAGGACUGCAGCUCUGUGCUGCACCACUGAGUAACCUCGUGUGAGGAUGACCACCACCCCACUUUCCCCACACAUCACAUGAGCUGAAACAAGGCCUGCACUAGACCACGAGGGUAGGGAACCAGAAUGUCUGGUUCUGUUCAAGGAGCACCCAGUCAGUGCCUUACACAGCUUAAGGUAAAACAUGACUGAGUUACCUCAAAAUGGAUGGGAAAGGGCUUUGAAUUCUAAGAGAAAGAUUGAGGAAGAAACAAAUUAUGGCUUGACACAGUCAAAAGGAGGAGUGGGAAAAGUACUGUUCUGGGAGAGGCUCCAUACAUGAGAAGCCGGAUUUGAACCUGAAGAUGUUAAGCAUUUAGUCUUACAAGUAAAAAGCAGUCUGCACAUUGCACAGGAACAGAAAUAAUUUCUGGAUUGUAGAAAGAAAAGCAGCUCUUACUUGGCUUAUCCCUCCCAGAAUGGGAGCGGGCCCAAGUUCUGUUACUGGGAUUUGCAGCACUUUAGUAACAAACUGCUAUGGCAAGGCUGAAAAUUGUAAGACACUGAUGAAAGAAAUCAAAGAUGACACAAACAAAGAUAUAUAUGAUGUUCUUGGAUUGGAAGAAUCAACAUUG